CUCCAGGACACUCCAGCCUGUUGUACAGGCCAAAGAAAAGCCCUCAGGCAGAGAAGCAAGUACUUGCAAGAGGACACCAGUGGCAAGAACAGGGACAUGCCACCCUGUGAAGACGUGCCUUUCGUCAAGAUUGUAAGUUUCUUGAGGCCUUCCCACCCAUGCGGAACUGUGAGUCAAUUAAACCUCUUUAUAAAUUA
Molecule: long non-coding RNA, 197 nt
Organism: Symphalangus syndactylus (siamang)
Lineage: Eukaryota; Metazoa; Chordata; Mammalia; Primates; Hylobatidae
Source: RefSeq, a predicted model, not a curated record